This is a long non-coding RNA of Beta vulgaris subsp. vulgaris (sugar beet), 479 nucleotides long. RefSeq lists it as uncharacterized. The transcript has 2 exons. The record is from RefSeq and is a predicted model, not a curated record. NCBI's taxonomy places the organism in Eukaryota, Viridiplantae, Streptophyta, Magnoliopsida, Caryophyllales, Amaranthaceae.
AGUCAAGUAGUAAUGAUUUUCUGAGUGCACGAGUUGCUACAAUAUUGAGGAUGUUGACUUCCAGAGACCAUAUGACCAUGGACAAGGCACAUGAUGUGGCUGCACUUUAUAGUAGAAUGAUGAACAAUUAAAUGGCUUUGCCAGUCAUCAACUAAAAACGUUGAGGUUCUGUCAACUGAAAAUGUUGAGGUUCUGUUAAAACAUAUUGAUCAUGAUAUGCAUAAUUUUGGAAAUCUACAGUGAGGUCAGUCCGCACCGUGAUGAGCAAUUUCCCCAACAAGCACAACCGUCUAUACAUGGAAACUUCUAUAAUGGAAGAGGGGCUUGCUGGGGCCAUUGAUGAAGAGCGAAUAUGUUAAAUAUAUGUCAUUAGAACUCCAGUUUCAUGGGUUUACAUUAUUUUGAUUUUGCGUCACUAUGAAUUAUGACAUUAUAACUCCAUCCUAUGUCAUUAUUGGUUUUCUGAUUUUCUUCUAUCA